GGGCGAGUGGCGAAAUGGUAGACGCGCUAGUCUUAGGAACUAGUAGGCAACCCCUGUGAGAGUUCGAAUCUCUCCUCGCCCA
Non-coding RNA from Candidatus Melainabacteria bacterium GWF2_37_15, 82 nucleotides. Lineage: Bacteria; Bacillati; Candidatus Melainabacteria. The record is from Rfam.